RNAcentral lists this ribosomal RNA (459 nucleotides) under uncultured bacterium. RNAcentral describes it as "partial 16S ribosomal RNA". It matches the Rfam family "Bacterial small subunit ribosomal RNA", at positions 338 to 795 of the family's 1533-position model. The record is from RNAcentral.
CCUACGGGUGGCAGCAGUGAGGAAUAUUGGUCAAUGGGCGGGAGCCUGAACCAGCCAAGUCGCGUGAGGGACGACGGUCCUAUGGAUUGUAAACCUCUUUUGUCGGGGAACAAAGGCGCCCACGGGUGGGCGGAUGAGUGUACCCGAAGAACAAGCAUCGGCUAACUCCGUGCCAGCAGCCGCGGUAAUACGGAGGAUGCGAGCGUUAUCCGGAUUUAUUGGGUUGAAAGGGUGCGUAGGCGGACAGUCAAGUCCGCGGUAAAAAGGCGGCGCUCAACUCGGUACAGCCUUUUAAACUGGCAGUCUUGAGUGGGCGAGAGGUAUGCGGAAUGCGUGGUGUAGCGGUGAAAUGCAUAGAUAUUACGAAGAACUCCGAUGGCGAAGGCAGCAUACCGGCGCCCGACUGACGCUGAGGCACGAAAGCGUGGGUAUCGAACAGGAUUAGAUACCCGGGUAGUC